This 493-nucleotide ribosomal RNA is filed under the name uncultured bacterium. Its description in RNAcentral is "partial 16S ribosomal RNA". It matches the Rfam family "Bacterial small subunit ribosomal RNA", at positions 30 to 523 of the family's 1533-position model. The record is from RNAcentral.
AUUGAACGCUGGCGGCAUGCCUUACACAUGCAAGUCGAACGGUAACAGGUUAAGCUGACGGGUGGCGAACGGGUGAGUAAUAUAUCGGAACGUGCCCAGUCGUGGGGGAUAACGUAGCGAAAGCUACGCUAAUACCGCAUACGAUCUACGGAUGAAAACGGGGGAUCGCAAGACCUCGCGCGAUUGGAGCGGCCGAUAUCAGAUUAGGUUGUUGGUGAGGUAAAAGCUCACCAAGCCUGCGAUCUCUAGCUGGUCUGAGAGGACGACCAGCCACACUGGAACUGAGACACGGUCCAGACUCCUACGGGAGGCAGCAGUGGGGAAUUUUGGACAAUGGACGCAAGUCUGAUCCAGCAAUGCCGCGUGCAGGACGAAGGCCUUCGGGUUGUAAACUGCUUUUGUACGGAACGAAACGGUGAGCUCUAAUACAGUUUGCUAAUGACGGUACCGUAAGAAUAAGCACCGGCUAACUACGUGCCAGCAGCCGCAGUAA